Molecule: ribosomal RNA, 257 nt
Filed under: Enterobacter hormaechei
Lineage: Bacteria; Pseudomonadati; Pseudomonadota; Gammaproteobacteria; Enterobacterales; Enterobacteriaceae
Description: partial 23S ribosomal RNA
Rfam family: Bacterial large subunit ribosomal RNA
Source: RNAcentral
CUUGACACUGAACACUGGUCCUUGAUGUGUAGGAUAGGUGGGAGGCUUUGAAGCGUGGACGCCAGUCUGCGUGGAGCCAACCUUGAAAUACCACCCUUUAAUGGCUGGUGUUCUAACGUAGACCCGUUAUCCGGGUUGCGGACAGUGUCUGGUGGGUAGUUUGACUGGGGCGGUCUCCUCCCAAAGAGUAACGGAGGAGCACGAAGGUUGGCUAAUCCUGGUCGGACAUCAGGAGGUUAGUGCAAUGGCAUAAGCCA